This 1140-nucleotide long non-coding RNA is filed under the name Struthio camelus australis. RNAcentral describes it as "lncRNA (ENSSCUG00000007811.1)". The record is from RNAcentral. Lineage: Eukaryota; Metazoa; Chordata; Aves; Struthioniformes; Struthionidae.
AGAACACAGAUAAAGCGGGCUAGGUACAAAUUAAAGUAGUCAAUCUUUUCAGUGCUUUACUAUACCUGUAGCCAGCUGUGUUUGAGUUCAUUUCUUUUUCAUCUUCAUGCACCUUCUUCAUCUUCUUUCUCUGAAUGUCUUAGCUGAAAGUACUCUGUGUGUCUAGUCCUAACAGGAAAAAACAGUCCUAAGGAAAUGAAACGGUCCCUGUCCCUGACAUAAGAUAAUCUUGGCAGGGUGUGGAGUGAAAUCCUUAAAUUCUCUUCUGUGACUUCUCAGCAUUAGUGAGCCUGUUAUCGUCACGUGAAGCGUUUGUGAAGUCAGGGAAUGACAGUGACUUUAAAGGAGAAUUCUCAAAAGAGUCAUUUCUUCAGAUAAACUACUGCUUCGUUGUAGAGAGAUUUUCCCCGUUAUUUUUAAAUGCUUGUUGGCAUUCUUCAGAAAGCAUGGCAAAACUUUAUUCCAGUAACUCUUCUUCCUUUGUGCCGUCAACUUGCUGCCUUCUGACAUCUGACAUGAUGAAGAUAAUCUUUUAUACUGAAUUUUCAAAAGUUAAUCAUGACAAAAUAGAGCACUUACUUACCUGAACCUUCUCCUCUGUGAUGAAUCUCCAAUUCCUAGCUGUCAACUUAUUCUCCACGUUGUAAGAAAUAUGGCUUGAUAGCUUCCCAGUACAGCAGAAGCUUUGCAACUGCAGCAAAGAGGCUUUACCCAGUAAGUGAACAGAAGCAAAACACCAUCUGAUACUCUUGGUGCACAAAGCAGAUUUAUGUAAUUUGAUUUUCUUAAUAUAUGUAUCUUUAACGUAUUUUAAUGUAAACACAUUGAAAAUCUCCCAAACAAGGCCUUCCAUAUCAAGGCUUUUAUGCAGUUUUUUUGUUUGCUGUAUUGUGAUACUUUUGCUUAGCUUGUACUUUCUCUAGGAAAAUAGCAUUCAGUUUAGCUCUUGGGUUCUCUAUUGUUGUUUCCAGAGUAUGUAUAUUUAAUUAUAUAUACAUUUAAAGUGUGGAUAUAUUCUAUGUUAUAUGUAUUCAAUUUUUAGAUGUUUAUGUUCAUAUAAAUAUAAACAUACAUAUUCAUGCACACACGUGCAUACACAAGACUUUUAGUUCUUUUUCUUGCCUCUUUUGUUAUUUAGGA